AUUGAACGCUGGCGGCAGGCCUAACACAUGCAAGUCGAGCGGAUGAAGGGAGCUUGCUCCUGGAUUCAGCGGCGGACGGGUGAGUAAUGCCUAGGAAUCUGCCUGGUAGUGGGGGAUAACGUCCGGAAACGGGCGCUAAUACCGCAUACGUCCUGAGGGAGAAAGUGGGGGAUCUUCGGACCUCACGCUAUCAGAUGAGCCUAGGUCGGAUUAGCUAGUUGGUGGGGUAAAGGCCUACCAAGGCGACGAUCCGUAACUGGUCUGAGAGGAUGAUCAGUCACACUGGAACUGAGACACGGUCCAGACUCCUGCGGUAGGCAGCAGUGGGGAAUAUUGGGCGAUGGGCGAAAGCCUGAUCCAGCCAUGCCGCGUGUGUCAAGAAGGUCUUCGGAUUGUAAAGCACUUUAAGUUGGGAGGUAGUGCAGUAAGUUAAUACCUUGCCGUUUUGACGUUACCAACAGAAUAAGCACCGGCUAACUUCGUG
RNAcentral lists this ribosomal RNA (484 nucleotides) under uncultured bacterium. Its description in RNAcentral is "partial 16S ribosomal RNA". It matches the Rfam family "Bacterial small subunit ribosomal RNA", at positions 30 to 507 of the family's 1533-position model. The record is from RNAcentral.